GGCGGCGUGGCCAAGUGGUAAGGCAGAGGUCUGCAAAACCUUUAUUCGUCGGUUCAACUCCGUCCGCCGCCUCCA
This 75-nucleotide transfer RNA is filed under the name Acidobacteriota bacterium. RNAcentral describes it as "Acidobacteria bacterium (activated sludge metagenome) tRNA-Cys". It matches the Rfam family "tRNA". From Rfam's summary of the family: Transfer RNA (tRNA) molecules are approximately 80 nucleotides in length. Their secondary structure includes four short double-helical elements and three loops (D, anti-codon, and T loops). Further hydrogen bonds mediate the characteristic L-shaped molecular structure. tRNAs have two regions of fundamental functional importance: the anti-codon, which is responsible for specific mRNA codon recognition, and the 3' end, to which the tRNAs corresponding amino acid is attached (by aminoacyl-tRNA synthetases). tRNAs cope with the degeneracy of the genetic code in two manners: having more than one tRNA (with a specific anti-codon) for a particular amino acid; and 'wobble' base-pairing, i.e. permitting non-standard base-pairing at the 3rd anti-codon position. Lineage: Bacteria; Pseudomonadati; Acidobacteriota. RNAcentral also lists the same sequence under 1 other name. The record is from RNAcentral.